Sus scrofa (pig) is the source of this 850-nucleotide long non-coding RNA. RefSeq lists it as uncharacterized. NCBI's taxonomy places the organism in Eukaryota, Metazoa, Chordata, Mammalia, Artiodactyla, Suidae. The record is from RefSeq and is a predicted model, not a curated record.
CGAGAACCGCAGCAGGUUGCAAAUGGGUUCUGAGACCUUGAAUUUCCGUGAAGCAAAAUCCCAUAGUCAGUGACAGAACAGAAGAAACCAGGCCUCCUGAGAACCAGCCGACCCAGAAGCAUCUAGGUCAUUCUCUGCUCUGUGCUUCAGAAGAAGGCUGAGGACAAAAAAAAAAAGAUAGAUUCAAGAAGGUAUUUCCUGGCAUUUGGGGAUCAGCCGCUCAGGCCUGAAUAGAGGAGUGGAUGGGGAGGAAGUGAAAUGGACUCCGUUCAAAGACAAUAAAGCUGAUUCAGGGCAGCACCUGAUGUUGCAAGAGCCAUGCUUCCUGGUUCCUUCUUACCUCCAGACCGGAUAACAACCUCCUGGGCCCAGACUGGAAGAGGUGUCGGAAAGGAGAUUAGAGGCAGCUUUGAAGUUCAUCAGAAAACAAGAAACAAAGGGAAUAGAGAUGUCCUGGUACAAAGAAGGCAGCUGAGUCAUAGCUCCUGAAGCAGAAAACUCCAGGUACUCUGUGUGUGAUGGCCCGGGGUGGGGGGCAUCUGUGACAGCCCAGGAGGGGUCUGUGAUGGCAGAGGGGAGGCUGCCUCACCCAGCGGGGGGCAAAGACCACCGGGAGAUGAGACUCCUGCACCUGCCAAGGCGCCCAGGAACUCCAGAAUUGCAAAAUUACGCCACGGCGACCUGAUGGGCACUGAAGCAAACAAACAAAGACGCCUCAGAAAUAUUACGGGAUGCCAGUCAAGAUGAUAAAGGGACUUAAUUGUUCUUCCUUAACAAGAACUCAGAGGAGUUCCCAUCGUGGCUCAGUGGUUAACAGAUCCGACUAGGAACCAUGAGGAUGCGGGUUCCA